Molecule: ribosomal RNA, 301 nt
Filed under: uncultured bacterium
Lineage: Bacteria
Description: partial 16S ribosomal RNA
Rfam family: Bacterial small subunit ribosomal RNA
Source: RNAcentral
CAGCAGCCACGGUAAUACGUAGGUGGCAAGCGUUGUCCGGAAUUAUUGGGCGUAAAGGGCUCGCAGGCGGUUUCUUAAGUCUGAUGUGAAAGCCCCCGGCUCAACCGGGGAGGGUCAUUGGAAACUGGGAAACUUGAGUGCAGAAGGGGAGAGUGGAAUUCCACGUGUAGCGGUGAAAUGCGUAGAGAUGUGGAGGAACACCAGUGGCGAAGGCGACUCUCUGGUCUGUAACUGACGCUGAGGAGCGAAAGCGUGGGGAGCGAACAGGAUUAGAGACCCGUGUAGUCCCUGUCUCUUAUAC